This 504-nucleotide ribosomal RNA is filed under the name uncultured bacterium. Its description in RNAcentral is "bacterial SSU rRNA". It matches the Rfam family "Bacterial small subunit ribosomal RNA", at positions 19 to 518 of the family's 1533-position model. The record is from RNAcentral.
CUGGCUCAGGAUGAACGCUGGCGGCGUGCUUAACACAUGCAAGUCGAACGAAGCUCCUUCACUUGAGGAUUUCGGUCAAGAGGGAAGGAUGACUUAGUGGCGGACGGGUGAGUAAUACAUGAGCAACCUGCCCUUCAGAGGGGGACAACAGUUGGAAACGACUGCUAAUACCGCAUGAAGUACGGACAUCGCAUGGUGACCGUAUCAAAGAUUUAUCGCUGAAGGAUGGGCUCAUGUCUGAUUAGCUAGUUGGUGAGGUAAUGGCUCACCAAGGCUGCGAUCAGUAGCCGGACUGAGAGGUUGGCCGGCCACAUUGGGACUGAGAUACGGCCCAGACUCCUACGGGAGGCAGCAGUGGGGAAUAUUGGGCAAUGGACGCAAGUCUGACCCAGCAACGCCGCGUGAAGGAAGAAGGCUUUCGGGUUGUAAACUUCUUUUAGCAGGGACGAAGAAAGUGACUGUACCUGCAGAAUAAGCUCCGGCUAACUACGUGCCAGCAGCAGC